CUGCCUGAUGGAGGGGGAUAACUACUGGAAACGGUAGCUAAUACCGCAUAACGUCGCAAGACCAAAGAGGGGGACCUUCGGGCCUCUUGCCAUCAGAUGUGCCCAGAUGGGAUUAGCUAGUAGGUGGGGUAAUGGCUCACCUAGGCGACGAUCCCUAGCUGGUCUGAGAGGAUGACCAGCCACACUGGAACUGAGACACGGUCCAGACUCCUACGGGAGGCAGCAGUGGGGAAUAUUGCACAAUGGGCGCAAGCCUGAUGCACCCAUGCCGCGUGUGUGAAGAAGGCCUUCGGGUUGUAAAGCACUUUCAGCGAGGAGGAAGGUGGUGAGCUUAAUACGUUCAUCAAUUGACGUUACUCGCAGAAGAAGCACCGGCUAACUCCGUGCCAGCAGCCGCGGUAAUACGGAGGGUGCAAGCGUUAAUCGGAAUUACUGGGCGUAAAGCGCACGCAGGCGGUUUGUUAAGUCAGAUGUGAAAUCCCCGGGCUCAACCUGGGAACUGCAUUUGAAACUGGCAAGCUAGAGUCUCGUAGAGGGGGGUAGAAUUCCAGGUGUAGCGGUGAAAUGCGUAGAGAUCUGGAGGAAUACCGGUGGCGAAGGCGGCCCCCUGGACGAAGACUGACGCUCAGGUGCGAAAGCGUGGGGAGCAAACAGGAUUACAUACCCUGGUAGUCCACGCUGUAAACGAUGUCGAUUUGGAGGUUGUGCCCUUGAGGCGUGGCUUCCGGAGCUAACGCGUUAAAUCGACCGCCUGGGGAGUACGGCCCCAAGGUUAAAACUCAAAUGAAUUGACGGGGGCCCGCCCAAGCGGUGGAGCAUGUGGUUUAAUUCGAUGCAACGCGAAGAACCUUACCUACUCUUGACAUCCAGAGAACUUUCCAGAGAUGGAUUGGUGCCUUCGGGAACUUUGAGACAGGUGCUGCAUGGCUGUCUUCAGCUCGUGUUGUGAAAUGUUGGGUUAAGUCCCGCAACGAGCGCAACCCUUAUCCUUUGUUGCCAGCGGUUCGGCCGGGAACUCAAAGGAGACUGCCAGUGAUAAACUGGAGGAAGGUGGGGAUGACGUCAAGUCAUCAUGGCCCUUACGAGUAGGGCUACACACGUGCUACAAUGGCGUAUACAAAGAGAAGCGACCUCGCGAGAGCAAGCGGACCUCAUAAAGUACGUCGUAGUCCGGAUUGGAGUCUGCAACUCGACUCCAUGAAGUCGGAAUCGCUAGUAAUCGUAGAUCAGAAUGCUACGGUGAAUACGUUCCCGGGCCUUGUACACACCGCCCGUCACACCAUGGGAGUGGGUUG
Molecule: ribosomal RNA, 1295 nt
Filed under: Serratia marcescens
Lineage: Bacteria; Pseudomonadati; Pseudomonadota; Gammaproteobacteria; Enterobacterales; Yersiniaceae
Description: bacterial SSU rRNA
Rfam family: Bacterial small subunit ribosomal RNA
Source: RNAcentral